GGGAAUGUGGCUCAGUGGUAGAGCUUCUUGUCUGUACACUUCUGAAUAAUUUUAUUUAGCAUACAGAAAAUCCUGACCCUAGAUUCAAAUCCCUAGCAUUCCUA
Molecule: transfer RNA, 104 nt
Filed under: Ictidomys tridecemlineatus (thirteen-lined ground squirrel)
Lineage: Eukaryota; Metazoa; Chordata; Mammalia; Rodentia; Sciuridae
Description: Spermophilus tridecemlineatus (thirteen-lined ground squirrel) tRNA
Rfam family: tRNA
About the family: Transfer RNA (tRNA) molecules are approximately 80 nucleotides in length. Their secondary structure includes four short double-helical elements and three loops (D, anti-codon, and T loops).
Source: Rfam by way of RNAcentral